Molecule: long non-coding RNA, 8077 nt
Filed under: Sus scrofa (pig)
Lineage: Eukaryota; Metazoa; Chordata; Mammalia; Artiodactyla; Suidae
Description: lncRNA (ENSSSCG00035071673.1)
Source: RNAcentral
GGCUUCCGUUUUCCUUCUCCUCCCUGGCCUCUCAGCCCGCUUGCCCCUGGUCCCUUUCCUUCCUUGUGAUGAGCAGUCCCUGCUCGGGUGCAGCUCUCUUGUUAGCUUGCGCGGGCCGUGUUCUCUCCACCUCGCCGCCGCUCCGCCAGCUGCGGAGCAGCGUGAUUCUGCUCCUCGGGAAAUGCUGUGCUUUGGGUGGAAAAGGACUGGCUUCCUGGCAGCGCCGAAUGAAGAUCCUUCUCCCCUGGAAACAAACAAAAUCCCUUUAUCUGUGGAACUUCCUGCUUCCUCCACUGAAAGCUGUGCUUUGCAAACGUGGGGCAUCCAGCCAGGGGCACACGGAAUCAUAGGAUAAACUGGGCACAUCUCCCUGGAUGGCACUUGAAACUUUGGGGGAAAAUGGUUUCCCAUCCUUCCUUGUAAAAAUGAUGGCUGUAUAUGAGUUGAAGAAUAUGAUGGAGGCCAACAGAAAAUUCACAGGGCAUUUAAAGAUUAAACAGGAGAUGUAAAAAUUUCAUGCUUCUGGUAAGCUGCUUUGGGUUAUGUCUUGAAAAUUCCGACAGCGUCGUUCCACCUCUUUGCUGUAAGGAAGUACUUCAGUGGGAGAUUUUGAACAGCACAAAAAGCUGUCCCUGAAAGCAGCUGUUGGCUGUUGGUUUGACCCAGGGACUUGGGUGCCUAGGGCUGAUUUAAUGAAGUUAGAGAAACUUUUGAAGUAUUAAUAGAGAUUUCUUUCCUUCCCACGCCUUAGAGUUUCCUUAUGUCCUGCUUAUUCUGUUAUUAGCUUAUUGCGUGGGGAGUGUUUGAAUUGGUGUAGCAGGAACGUAAAGAUAAAGAGUCAGGGGUCUUAUUUAUGUAUAUUUAAAUUCAUAGCAGAGACCAGCAUGACUUUGGAUGUGUAAGAGGUGUGGUGCGAACAUCAACAGCAAAUCUUGGGAGGAGUCAAGACGUUACGGGUUGGACUGCGUCCUUCCAAAAUUCCUACCUCCUAACCCCCAACACCUGAGAACGCGACCGCAUUUGGAAACGGGGUCUUUACAGAGGUGUUCAAGUUAAAAUGGGGCCUUGAGGAUUGGCUCUAAUCCAGUGUGCCUGCGGCCUUAUAAAAAGGGAACCUGGACACAGAGGCACUCAUAGAAAGGAGAUGAUAUGAAGAGACGUAGAGAAUGUGGCCUUUAUUCUGUAAACCCAAGAGGGAAGCCUGGAAUAAAGCCUUUGCCAUCCCUCAGAAGGCACCCUCUUCACCAGUACCUUCGUCUUGAACUUUAGCUUCCAGAGCUGCAGGCAGUAACUUUCUGCUGUGUAGGCCACCCAGUUUGCGGCAGCCCUCGCAAAGUAAGACCCAAGGCAUAAAGUUAUGCCAUACGCAGUAGACUGGAACUAUCGCGUCAUCAAAUCUAAGAUGUCAUCCGUUGCGAGGUCCGUCCCAGUGUGAGAGAUGACUCCGUGUGAAAAAAGGAGCCUUGAAGGCAACACACCACGGCGGUAGAUGGAGAAGCAGAGCCUCUUGUUCUGCAGCCAAGCAGGGCCUAGUCGAGGACAGGGAAGAACCGGGCGAGCUGUGAGGGAGCUCCUAUUGCCCUGGGCUCAUGGACCGAGACCUAGGGUCACAUCUUUAUGCAGAGGGCUGAGCCUUGAAGGGAGGGUGAGAUGAAUCCAAGAGCAGGAAAAUCUCCACCCUGCUCCCCAUCCCUGCUGGUUCUCAGGGAGAAGCCCUGCAGAGAAGUUCUUUGUUUCAUCAGGGUGCAGGACCAGGAAGGGGCAAAAGGCCCGAUCUACGUGUGAGACCACAGUGCAGUUCACCGCAGCAUCCCAAGCUCCUGGUGUUCACGCUGGUUUUAAAGUAGCAAAGAGAGAGGGUGGAAGGAGAGAGCAACAGCCCGCGAGGCAGCCGACCCGGAGAAAUCUGUGGUUGAGAUGAAAAGGAUCCAGAUGACCCCUCUGGACCUGAGGCUUGAAGGCCAACGCAAGGACUGAAGACACUGGUGAAGGAUUUGCUGAGGAGAGAGCCCAGUGACCAAAGGUCAGGUGGGAGGAAGGCCGUUUGAUGGAGGCUGGACCGGGAACCAUGUGCCCAAGUGCCUGAGCCACAUUUGAUGGAACCCUGGCAGGAAGCAGGGUUGUGCUCUGAUGUUUUGAGUUGACAAGUUUUAGCUUGUAAUGCUUUUACUUUUAUUCAGAAGUGACUGGGUUUCCCUGGAAAUAACCUAGAUUAAAUUUCUCGAUUGGAGGGAACUGGGGGGAGGGGUCCCAAGACAAAUGAAUUAUGAUUAAAAUAAUUUGAGGCGUAUUCUCUUGUGAUGCGGCAGGGUCAGGAUCCAGCACUGUCACUGUGGUGGUUUGGGUUGCUGCUGUGGCUCAAGUUGGAUCCCUGGCCUGGGAACUUCCACAUGCUGUGGGCAUGGCAAAAUAUUAAUUUGAGGAAAACAUAUUCGACUUAAUACAUUUGCGUUGAUUUAUUAUUAUUAUUAUUUUACUCAGUACAUUCAUUUUUACUUCUAACCCAUUGCUUCUCCCCUUGCAUGGAUUUCACUUGCACCAAAACCCCCCGGUUGAUUGUCUUACCCAUUUCCCUUUGGUCUCUAAUCUGCGUUGUGUUACAGGCACUGCGAAUGUGAUGAAAACGAUGACUCCUUUCCCUAGACAAAUGCUCACAUGCACAUACCUAUCAAAUUUGGCGUCCAAGCUCAGGGACUUCCCAGAUUCUCUGAACCCCUCACAUUGUCAGAAAAGAAAACUGGAAACAAAACGUUGGUUUGUGCUCUAGAAACGCGUGAAGAAAUCUCGUUUAAGGCGAGAUGCUUGAGUGCAUUCCUUCCCUUUCCCUGCCUUCCUAGAACCCGCUGAAAUGACAGUUAAAGAUACGGAGAGAGAAAUGGGUCCAUGACAGCUCCGAAGACAGGACUGUGUGCGUGGACGAAUAAGCGCUGUCGUCAGACUUCUGGAAGAGGGAGAUGAGAUGGGCUUGCAUUCUGUUAUUUCAAGAGUGGAACAUACAUUAAGAAUCCGUGGCCUAGAGCUCAAAUGGGGAAUCAUACUGGUGGUGGGAGCCCUUCUUCAGACAGGCACUAGCACUGUUACACGUGGAGCGUUAGGGUGAGAGCUUUGAGGCAGCAAGCUGGGUGGUUAACUGGAAGGACGGCCUCGGGACAUUUUGGCUAAGCAGCCCCUUCCUGUCUUAGCUGUGCAUAGAGAAAUUUGAAUUCUAAGAAUUGUUUUCCGAACCUAUGAAAGAUUUGCUAAAGGACAGUUCAGAUUAUGAAGCUGGAGCAAGGGAGCAGGCACACUGAUAUUUGAAAUAGAUCCACAGGAUCAAAUGGAAAUUCUGGGGAAGAGCCAGGGGAUUAAAACAAAAGACAUUUCAGACUAGGAGGGAAACGCAGUCUUUGGUAGUGGAGGGCUUUCCAAAUGCACCUGCCUGCUCCCUACCCAGCCGGUGCUUUUGACUGCAAAGAAUGGAGAGCCAAACUCAAGUAGCUUUGUCAGAAGGAAAUGUGGUAUCUUAUAUGAAAUUCAAAGAUAGGGCAUCCCCAGGGCUGGUAAAUUAAUGAGCUUAAUAAUGGCACGUAACGAAGUUCUUGAUUCUUCUUCAUCCACUGUGUCAUAUCCUCAGCUUGUUGGCUUUGUUCUCAGGCUGGUUCCUCCCUGAUGAUAAGAAGUCCAGUCAUUCCAGGAGCCAUACCCAGAAAUAACAGUCUCCAGAGAAAGACAAGAAUGUCUCUUAUUCAGAAGCUCCAACUGACUUACCUUCAUGUUUUAUUGACUAAAAUUUUAUCACAUGCUUAUUCCCAAGCCACUCACUGGAAGGGUGAUAGGAUCGCCGUGAUUGACUUAGACCAUUCAGGAAGGCCCCCCGUGGGUACGUGGAGAGGGAGGGUAGAAGAUUCUGUUUUGAAAAGCAUGGGGGUGGGCGCAGAUGACUGUCAUGACGCUCAGCAGUCAAUCAGAUCCUAGUCUCCAAACUCAAGUAUGUUACGGAAUCUUGGUUUAUUAUACUUUGCUUCUUUGAGGAGGAAGUGGGAACAGGAAGACUGGAGAAGCAUCUAGCAAUGAUCCAAUGAUCUUUUCUGGUGGUAAGCUGUCACUUUUACCCUGCUGUGACCUUACAGCUAUCUGUGUAGAGCUGUUCUACAGACAAAUAUUUGGAUCUGGAAAUUCCCAGGAAAAUCAUGAAAAAAAGAAACAACAACUAGUUUUGAAAGACUGGAUGCUUUACUUCCAAAUCACUCCUUUUGGACCAGCCAAGAAACGAUCAUAGGUGUUUGGCACAGUAUCCCAUUUCCCCCUUUAAGCUACAAGCAGAAGCAUUGAAUGUUAACGCUGGUGGUUGUGCAAUUUAACUAAGAGCCUUAACGUUUACGCAACUGGAGAAGGCUUCAUUUGAGAGAAAGUAUUGUCAGGUGUGUGACACAUUCAACUGAUGCCUAAGCUUUCUAUACCCAGCACCGUCACUACUGAUUCAUAGUGUGGUUCUAACAACUCACUUUUUCUUAAAUGUUGGUUGCAAAACCACAUUAUCAGAAGGAUGCACUGUGGCACCCAACACUGGAACCUUAAGUGACGUAAGCUAGAGCACAGGUCCUCCACCCUUCCAUGGGAAAUGUGUUCAAAAGGUAGCCCUUCAUUUGAAUCUUUACCAAGUAAAGGAAGGCUGUACACUCCCAAAUAUUUGUGCCAGGACUUGCUAGACUCAUUUAUUUAUUCAACAAGUAUAUAUGAGGGCCUACUAUGUGCCAGACACUAUUCCAGUCUCUCUUAAUAGACAAAACAAACUACAGUCAAGCAACUUGCUUCCUGCUGGAGGGAGACAUACAGAAAACACAAUAUAAACCCAGUAUAGUAAUAAGGAAAUUCUAUGUUUUUUAAAAGGAGAUAAGAAUUUUGGAAAAAAUAGAGCCGGGUCAGGGGGGUCAGAGGUGCAGUGUAGGCCUCGUUAAGAAGGUGACAUUGGAGAGUUCCUGUUGUGGCUCAGUGGGUUAAGAAUCCGCCUAGUAUCCAUGGGGGUGCUGGUUUGUUCCCUGGCCUCGCUCAGUGGGUUCAGGGUCCAGGGUUGCUGCGAGCUGCAGUGUAGGUUGCAGACAUGGGUUGGCUCCUGUGUCACUGUGGCUGUGGUGUAGGCCUGCAGCUGCAGCUCCGAUUCAGCCCCUAGCCUGGGAACUUCCAUAUGAUGUGGGUCCGCCCUAAAAAGGAAAAGAGGAGUUCCCGUCAUGGCUCAGUGGUUAACGAAUCUGAUUAGGAACCGUGAGGUUGUGGGUUUGAUCCCUGGCCUCGCUCAGUGGGUUAAGGAUCUGGCGUUGCCGUGAGCUGUGGUGUAGGUUGCAGAUGUGGCUUGGAUCCUGCGUUGCUGUGGCUCUGGUGUAGGCUGGUGGCUACAGCUCUGAUUAGACCCCUAGCCUGGGAACCUCCAUAUGCUGUGGGUGCGGCCCUAGAAAAGACAAAAGAAGAAAAGAGACAGAGGGGCCAAGUCCUGUAAAGGGUUGGGUGGAGGGGGCAGUGCUCCAGGCAGAGGGAAGGGCCAGGACGAAGAGCCUCAUGUGGAGCAUCCAGGACCGCAAGGAGGCCUAUUGUGGGGGAGGUUUAACAGAGUGGAUACAGAUACCAGCUGUUUGCAGUGAAGACUCCAGAACUAUCUGACAGGCAUGCUUGCAGAUAAAGCUAAUAUUUGAAGCAAAUAUGAGGAGCUAUUGUGUUUACUUAAUUAGUUGCUGUAGCAAGUGCAUCGGGAAACACAGAUGCUGGGCUUGACCGCAAGGGUUUCUAAAGCACUUGGUCUGGGGUGGGGGCUCCAGAAUUUGCUUUUCCUACAAGUUCCCGGAGUGAUGUUGAUGCUGCCUCUUUGGUCACUUACAGAACCUCUGCUCCAUGACAGUGGGACUUCUCCCAGAGUGAAGCCUACGGUACAUUUUAGGUACAGUUUCUUGAUGAUUUAUUUAUGAAUCAUCUUUAUGUGAAUAGAGUCUAUUCCUCCAUAGUUUGCAUAUUGUGAAGCUCAGGUGGUCCGCCGGUCCAGCCCGUUGCCUUCUGGGAAAUCAUUUUUACCAUUUCAACCCCGUUUUUGAACUAAUGAGUCAGUCAGGUUAUGGCUUGUCCAAGUCACAUACUUAAGUUCUGGAGGAGACGGCGGUAUUAAUCUUUGCCACACUUUUUCUUUCUUUUUUUUAGGGCCAGACCCAGGGCAUAUGGAAGUUCCCAGGCUAGGGAUUGAAUCAGAGCUACAGCUGCCAACUUAGCAGCACGGGAUCUGAGCCGCACCUGUGACCUACACCUCAGUUCGCAGCAACGCCGGAUCCCUGACCUAUGGAGCAAGGCCAGGGAUCGAACCCACAUCCUCGUGGAUACUAGUCAGGUUUGUUCCGCUGCGCCACAGUGAGGACUUCCGAUCUUUGCCACAUUUUUAGGCCUGGCAUGCCCUUUGGCCUUUGCCUGUUUUGAACUUAUGUGCUUCUGGGUUUCUCCCUCGGCUUUCUUCUCCUCUUUUUUGCCCGGUGAUACUGGGGGCUGCUCCCUGAUCUGCUGGUCACGUCCUGUCUGUGAGGGCCACUUGCUAGAAGAGGCGGCUGGGCUGCGUCCAAGAACUGGCCUCAUCAGCAGUGACAGUGUUGAGGGGACACCUGCCGUACAAGAUGCCUCGUCACUCGGCCCAGAGUUCAUACCUAACCUGGGGUAUUUGCCUGUUCUCCUUUUUUUUUUUUUUUUUUGAUGGCAAGAUUUGUUAGACAACCACCCAUUUAACAGCAGCUUAAUUUAACCAAAAUCUCAAGUUUAUGUCUCCCCAGUGCAUGUCAGAGGUUUUUCUCUUUACUGAGAGACAUUUUUUUGCCCUAAAAAGACAUGUCCCCGUCGAUUCGGCCCCUUUACCUCCCUGCACCUUAGCUUCCUUGUCAGCAAAGCAGGAAACAUGAUCCUCCUUUAGAAAGGAGACCUUGGGACGUUCUGGGGCGCCAUGGCUUGGUUCCCUGCCAAUCUGGGCAGCCUCAUGGGAGGGCAAGACUUCAGGAUCCGUGCCAGGAAGGAGUGUCUGAAGGACUUGCUUCCCAAAGCAGUUUUUCUCCUCUUGCCACGACGCUGUCUCUGGAUCUAUCAGCAUCACCGUGUGUGAGCAAGGGCCUCUCUGCUGAAUUAAGCACAGGGUACUUUGCGGAGGGACUUAGAAGACAGUGAGGACGCAUUUAGACUACGUGUCUCUAACCCUUUCUGCAGGUUAUCUUUUGGGAAGCCGACUUUUUAAUCAAAGUACAGUUGAUGUGUGGUAUUACAUGUUUCAGGCGUACAGCAUGGUGGCUUGCAUGUUUAAAGGUUAUACUCCAUUUACAGUUACUAUAAGAUACUGGCUAAUUCCCUGUGCUGUACAAUAUAUCCUUCUAGACUAUUUAUUUUAUACAUAGUAGUUUGUACCUCUUAAUCCCUUACCUCUGUCUUGCCCUUCCUUCCUUCCCUCUCUCCACUCGUAACCACUAAUCUGUGAGUCUGUUUAGAAGCCAACUUUUGAAUCUUAAUUUCUACAAAGGUCACUAAUAUUUUAAAAAAUCAAAAUAUUAGCAGGAAAAAAAAGAAAAACCCCAGAAAGUUCCCUUGUGGUGCAGCAGGUUAAGGAUCCGGCAUUGCCGUAGCUGUGGCCCAGGCUCAAGUGUGGUGUGGGUUGGAUCCCUGGUCCCAGAACUUUCACAUGCUAUGGGCAUGGCCAAUAAAUAAAUAAAUGAAAUGAAGUAUAAAUAAGCUAUAACCCCACCUCUGAGGAAAGCAAUAAGAACGACACUAUUAAAAUCAGCAAUCUCCUCACCCAUGAUGAAACCGUCGUAACAAAGCAGCAAUAGACAGGAAUCCCCUCUGCUGGUAAAGAGUGUUUACUAAACCCUGCACCACACAUUGUCCUUGGUGAUAGGAUCCGGAAGGUUAAACGAAAGCCCUGCUAUCCACUGAUUCUAUCCAACAUUUUACUGGAGGGCCUAGCCAGUCAAAAAAACGAAACAAAAAACCCCAAAAGAAUUAAAAGGCAUAAAUAUGGGAAAGGAAGAAAUGAAGACCACUGUUAUUUGCAGAUGAUAUAAUAAUUACGUGUUUAGACAAUCCAAAAAAA